Molecule: long non-coding RNA, 2751 nt
Filed under: Gallus gallus (chicken)
Lineage: Eukaryota; Metazoa; Chordata; Aves; Galliformes; Phasianidae
Description: long non-coding RNA NONGGAT003045
Source: RNAcentral
AGCAAAAGCAAAUAAUAAUAAAUCCUCUUCAAACACAUGAAGCACAGGAAGCCUGCUGGAGAGUCAGAAGUUGGCCAUGGUGCAACAGGAGCUCUCACAGGAGAUAAGGUGGGAACAAGGAAAAGAACAAAGUGGGUGUUUUGCAACCACAGUCGGCGAGGACAAGCUCUGAGAAGCAUCUGUGCCAAAACUCUGUGUAAGGACAUGGCACAGGAUUUGACUUACAUUCAAGCUACCUGCUGAGGAGGCUGAGGAAAAAAUAGCCAAACCAAAGACUGCAAAUUCACUGGGCUGAAGUGGCAUUCUCUUAAGUGCUCAGGAUGAGGAACCAGGAUGAAACAAUUCAAUUACUUAAUUGUAGCAGGUUCACCUGAAUCUCAUCUCCAUCCAAGCUGCACCACAGGCUGAUCACUGGCUUUGGGUUUAGUGCAAACCCAGGAGUCUCGUGGGAACCAACACUGCAGGAUGGGUCCUUCAGCACUGGCAGGGGCCAUUCAUUCAGCAGCCAUGGAGGAGCAGGACUUGGCCCAAAGCAAUAGAGGUUUCUCACGGCUGGGAUUCCCAAACAGCUCCAGGAGCUGUCACUGAUGGUAACUGAUAGCUCAACGAUUCAGUGAUUACUCAGUUUUUGCUCCAUCCACAUCCCAGUACUUCAGUUUGGCAAAAUAACAACAAGACUUUGUUCUGACGUUGGAGCCCCGCAGGAGAAAUGUUGAAGUCCAAAGUGGCUGUGUUAUAUUUAAGAUGGAAAGAAAAAUAUUGUUGUUAAAGGAGAGUUUGUGUGAGCAUCUCUCUGCAAACAUCCAGACACUGAAGCUCAGAUCCACUCCCUGCACCAUGCCCAAUCCUUGCUGUAAUUUAAAGCGCUGUGCACACGAAUGAAAACUGCUGUCUUGCACGUUUUCUAUUACUGUUAGGAUUCAGGCGGAGUUGGAAAUGCAGCACUCACACUCUGCACAGCAGAGCCCAUCUUGCUCUGAUGCACUUUGCCUGGCAUGGGGUUCUGCAAGGGAGUGGCAGCUGUGAGCUGAUCCUGCAGAGAGCGAGGCCAAGGAGCAAGGAGAGGAGGCAGAAACUCACAGGCAAGAUGACUCAGAGAGCUCAGCUGGAGGAUGAUAAGGGAUGCAUUUAGCCUUUCCCUCCUGGUGGGCGGAAGGAAACUAUUUGUGAUGGUUAUGGCAGAAGGAGUGAGAAGCUGGAAGGGAGGUGAGGAAAAGAGAUCUGGGGUUUGCCAUAUUGUGUGUUUGUAUUUACAGGGCUUUCCAUAGCUCCUUUGUGGCCUGAAGUGCAUACCUGAGCCCACACUAAUGACAAGAAGCAGCUCUGGGCACCACGGGGACACUCCCACAGGAGCUGCACACGCAUUCAGGGCUGUCAGCAGCUCCUGACCACAGCAAGGAUGUAUCAAAAUAGGCACCAUGCAUUGUAGCUGAGGCAUCACACAAAGAUGCAGGCACCAAAGAGUCAUAGGUUAAGAUCCUGUUGGCAAGGAUAACAAAUUCCACAUCUGCAAAUAUAAUAGCCCAGGGCACAGGAAAAGAGUGCAUACGGUGUGUGCACAUUGCAAGGGGGUUAUGCGUUCUGCUGACUCUGUGCCCCACUUCCAAGCUGCCCUGAGGGGAGGAAAAAGAACAGUCCCAGUUACUAUGGUGAAAUCAGAUGGGCUGAAUGGGAUUUGGCCGGGACUCGGGACGGGCAGCAGCUGAAUCUGUCAGCGCUCCACAAGACCUGUGUGCCACUGCAAAUCUUCAGCAGAACUGCAGCCAACAGCAGUGUGCUCAAGUGGAAAAGGUGGAUGUCAUCGUGUGAGAAACGGUGCAGCAGUGUGCCAUUGUGUGCAGCCAGCACAGGGCUGGUAUGGCAUGGGAUGGAGGAUCUGGCCCUGUUCUGGCCACGGUGGGGAUUUGGGCCAGCUGGGCACAAAGGGACACCAGUGGUGCAGAAGUGCAGACUGUGAGCAAAGGCUGAAAGAAGAAAUGACUCUUCCAGGAGAAGUAAAGAGCUGGAGAGAGCCACAGCAACACAUUCCAGUCCUAUCAAAGGCUGAAGGCAGGUCAGCAUGAGCAGCAGUGGGGAAACUCAGACAAAAACAAAAGGUGUGCAACGCUGCAGACAGCAAAGCAGUGCACCAGGCUUCCAGGGGGACACAUGGCUGCCACAGAGGCACAGCUUAUCAGUACCAUUCCAUACCUGUGUAACCAGUAGUCAGAUUUCACAAAGGUUUUAAAAAUUAUGAGGAAAACUGAAGGGGAAAAAAUCAACAACUGUUAGAGUGGGAGAAUUAGCAGUUCCUUCAGAGGCACUUGCAAUACAUCACAAAAGCUAAUUCUGCACAGUCAAGAAAACAUAAUUCUGGCUGCAGACCCAUCCUCUAAGUUGGUAACCUGAAAACAGCAGUUGGAAGCAAAGUGACGGUAUAUACAAAGAGGAAUAAAGUAAUAAAGAGCAAUCAAUACAUAGCAAUCACCAAAGUGAGUUAUGAGGCAGAUAUUGAUAAAAUAAAUGGACAGAGGAAAAUCCAUGGCUGGCAAAGCCAUGAGCAGUGAGCAGCUGUUCUCUAAAUGCGUUAGGAACAAGAGAAACACUGCAGGUCUGUCCCAUAGAGCUGGAGGAGCAUUAGCAGCAUUGGUCAGAGACAGCCCUGGGUGUCUCCAGUCCAUCCUCAUGCUGAGGGCAGGGCUGAGGGCAAUGUGACCCCGCCUUGCUCACAGUUCACCUGGACCAAAUUAGGAAUCUCCCAGCACAGAGGAG